This 253-nucleotide ribosomal RNA is filed under the name uncultured bacterium. Its description in RNAcentral is "partial 16S ribosomal RNA". It matches the Rfam family "Bacterial small subunit ribosomal RNA", at positions 524 to 776 of the family's 1533-position model. The record is from RNAcentral.
UACGUAGGUGGCAAGCGUUGUCCGGAUUUACUGGGCGUAAAGAGCGCGCAGGCGGUCGUUCAAGUCGCGUGUGAAAGCCCCCGGCUCAACUGGGGAGGGUCACGCGAUACUGAUCGACUCGAAGGCAGGAGAGGGAAGUGGAAUUCCCGGUGUAGUGGUGAAAUGCGUAGAUAUCGGGAGGAACACCAGUGGCGAAGGCGACUUCUUGGCCUGUUCUUGACGCUGAGGCGCGAAAGCUAGGGGAGCAAACGGG